UCACUGGGUCUAGCCUCCUAAGGGAGAUCGCCUCUUGGUUGAAGCCUGCUUACUGAGAAGGAGUGUUCUGUAGCUAGAGACCCUAUAAUCAGCUGGCUGCACAUAUCAAGGCCUUUUGGUCAAUGUUUUGUUCAAACCAUGGGGAUGAAUGUAAGUGGCAUCAGUAUUAUUUGUUUCCAGUAAAAAUGUUGCCUGUGCAAAAGUGGAAUUGCCAGAUCAUGGCCUGAACCAAUAGUGGAGCACCCAGGUUGGAUGGCAUAGAUGACCCAGAGAGCUCAGGCGCAAGCAAUGUACCUGAGUGACUGGAGAGACAGGAUCCACCUCUCCUCACACUCACUUAAGGAUUAGCAGCAUAGGACGCACCAUUACUCUGGAUAGAAAUCAUGCUCCUUUCAAGCUGUCUCUGGUCUUGUAAGGAGGGAGACUAUUUUUCUUCUUUGUUACCUGCUAUUGUUCCAUAGUGCUUGUAUCCCAUUGAAGGCAAUGUCGUCAUCUCCUUCUGCUGGAUGCCUUCAUGUUUUUUUCUUGUCCGUUAAACAAUUGAAGGCUCAGAAGGACCUGAAAUUGCAUUUUAGUUUCUCAUUUUUUGGCAGGCUCUUAAAUCUUUCCUUUAUAGGUGCUGGAAAACAUGAGAACCUCUUAUGGAAGUUAGCUAGUUGCAGUUUUGUUGAAAUCCAUAUAUAUGUGUGUGUGUGUAUAAAAAUAUGUGAGGUUUUUUUCCCCCUAUAUUCUGCAGCACAAAGUAAUUCAAGCAAUUUGAGAGGCUGAGAACAGUCAUAAGGUAGCUUUUCUCAUGUCUGCACAUCUAUUUGAUAUAGAGGUUAGACUAACAUGAAUUCUAAAUCUAUCAUCUUUCUUGUGUCCCAAGAAACUAGUGGAAACUCAAGACUUCAAAAUAAAAUUACUGUGUGUGUGA
Long non-coding RNA from Phasianus colchicus (ring-necked pheasant), 916 nucleotides. RefSeq lists it as uncharacterized. The record is from RefSeq and is a predicted model, not a curated record. NCBI's taxonomy places the organism in Eukaryota, Metazoa, Chordata, Aves, Galliformes, Phasianidae.